GUCGAGUGGGCGAAUGGCUAAGCCGCCAGGCUUUCAAUCUGGAAAUUGCGGGUUCGAAUCCCGCACUCGAUA
Molecule: transfer RNA, 72 nt
Filed under: Acidobacteriota bacterium
Lineage: Bacteria; Pseudomonadati; Acidobacteriota
Also listed under: 1 other name
Description: Acidobacteria bacterium tRNA-Glu
Rfam family: tRNA
About the family: Transfer RNA (tRNA) molecules are approximately 80 nucleotides in length.
Source: RNAcentral